GCGUAACGCGUAUGCAACCUACCCUAUACAGGGGGAUAGCCCGGAGAAAUCUGGAUUAAUACCCCAUGGCACUAUGAUGAGGCAUUUUGUUAUAGUUAAAGAUUUAUCGGUAUAGGAUGGGCAUGCGUCUGAUUAGCUAGUUGGAGGUGUAACGGACCACCAAGGCGACGAUCAGUAGGGGUUCUGAGAGGAAGGUCCCCCACACUGGCACUGAGAUACGGGCCAG
RNAcentral lists this ribosomal RNA (226 nucleotides) under uncultured bacterium. RNAcentral describes it as "partial 16S ribosomal RNA". It matches the Rfam family "Bacterial small subunit ribosomal RNA", at positions 108 to 334 of the family's 1533-position model. The record is from RNAcentral.